UUGGGGCACGCUUUGGCGGCUGAAGCUCGCGCACCUGCUCUCCUCCUCCGUCCACCUUGAGUCUUGCGCCAUGGCGAGCAUCCUCCUGUGGAAGAUUUGGAGAAGAAGGGUGUUUUUUCUGUUUUGAGAUAGAGAGACAGAGGCGCAACUGAGCAUCUACGAUCCGCAGGUGAGCGAGGAGCGGCAACACCCGACACACCUGUAGCCGGCGGCGGGACGGGGGCGGGAGUGGGGGGUGUGAAGCAGCAGGUGAGCGGCGGAGGGGACUUGACGAUCUGCAGGUGAGCGGCGUAGGGGACUUGGGGAUUUGGAGAAGAAGGUUUUUUUUUUGCUGUUACGUUUUUUUCUUUUUUUUAUUUUUU
This 362-nucleotide long non-coding RNA is filed under the name Salvia miltiorrhiza (redroot sage). Its description in RNAcentral is "long non-coding RNA (SMIL_LNC003399)". The record is from RNAcentral. Lineage: Eukaryota; Viridiplantae; Streptophyta; Magnoliopsida; Lamiales; Lamiaceae.